AUACAGAGGGUGCAAGCGUUAUUCGGAAUUACUGGGCGUAAAGCGCGCGUAGGCGGAUGAUUAAGUCAGUUGUGAAAGCCCGGGGCUCAACCUAGGAACUGCAUCUGAUACUGGUCGUCUAGAGUUUAAGAGAGGGAAGUGGAAUUCCAGGUGUAGCAGUGAAAUGCGUAGAUAUCUGGAGGAACAUCAGUGGCGAAGGCGACUUCCUGGCUUAAAACUGACGCUGAGGUGCGAAAGCGUGGGUAGCGAACGGGAUUAGAUACCCUAGUAGUCC
This 274-nucleotide ribosomal RNA is filed under the name uncultured bacterium. Its description in RNAcentral is "partial 16S ribosomal RNA". It matches the Rfam family "Bacterial small subunit ribosomal RNA", at positions 523 to 796 of the family's 1533-position model. The record is from RNAcentral.